Long non-coding RNA from Lathyrus oleraceus (garden pea), 1686 nucleotides. RefSeq lists it as uncharacterized. The transcript is spliced from 3 exons. The record is from RefSeq and is a predicted model, not a curated record. Lineage: Eukaryota; Viridiplantae; Streptophyta; Magnoliopsida; Fabales; Fabaceae.
CAUCCACCUGCAACCAGCUUCAAAUCCAACCGCAAGAUAAAACCUAAAUCUCCUCUUUCAAUCAUCAUAUGAAGGUUGAAUAGACUCAGCCCCUCUCAUGAGAGGGUUUCGAUUCUCGAAGCUCGGGAUAACGUCCUAGCAACUAAAUCGAACCAGAAGAAGGCGAAGAAGGAAGGAUACUAACCUUUGCGUCGGAGCCUUGCCUCGGGGACGAAGACGAUGACCAAAACAGCAGUUUCGACUUCCUUCGCCGCGAGCUAAUGGUGACGCCGAUAACGGAUGAUGAUCGUGUGCGAUACUGCGAUGGUGACGAAGAAGUGAAGAAGUGAUGGUAUCGAUGGAUGUCGACUGAGCGAAGCGAAGAAGAAUGUCCAAAACAGAUAAGAACUUCUCUUCCCCAAUUCCUCUUCUGUUUUUUCGGUUACCAAUUUGGUUUUCGCUUUUCAUCCCUUCUUCUGUGCGCUUAUGUUUCCAUUACAUCUUGGCUUCCAUUUGAGACGGAGCUUCGACCUUCAUUUGCAGGUUCUUGCCGUGAAGAGAAUCUAGGUUGAAGAAACGGUUACGUCACGACGAGGAAAAAGUUGACGAUUGAAGGCUGAGAAUUCAGUUGAAGGUGAUGGAGAAUCGACUUGGAGCUUGGUUGAGGGUGACGUCGUGUGAGAAGAGUAGUGAAGUUGUGUUAGGGAUUGAAGAGUUCCUUUUCUAAAUUUUGCAGGUUGUGUUAGAGAAGAAGAAUUGGUUGAAUGGUGAUGGAGGUUACGGUUGGAGAUGUUGAAGUGUUAAAGAUGGAUAAGUAUGGUUGAAGGUUGAUGAAGGGUUCUGUUAACUGUGAUGGAGAGUGAAGUCGUUAGGGUGAGUUUUGGGUUGUGAUGGAGAUGGAAGAAGAAGCCCCCGGGGUGAAGAAUCAAUUAUAAGUUAUAUGGAGGUUGUUGAAGUUAUGGAGGUUAUGGUUUAGUUAGGAAUUAGUUAGAUUCAAUGACAGUUGGCGAGAGUUGGCGACAGUUGGAAUUUAUUAGGCGGUUAGGACGGUUAAGAAAUUUGUUAUGAAGUUUGGAAUUGUUGAGUUGGUUAUCGUGAAGCUCCAUUUUGAAUGAGUUCCUUUAAGAAGGAACUUGUUGAAUUUUUAAUGAAGGUUCCUCGAGAGCAAGGUUUUUCAGGAUGAUGGUUGAGUGAUUUAGUUUGUGGAAUCUGGUUCGGUUGAGGAUGUGGAACUGUUUUGCUGUGAUCAAACUCAGGUCAAAUGUAGGCUAAAUGAAAGCUCUGCAGGCAUGGCUUUGCUUCAUUUUUUAAUGGGUUGGUGGCCAUGGUUUGAUGCAGGCUUGGCGACGACAGGAACCUUGCAGUUCGCAUCAGACAAAAGAGGGAAAAUGGCAUCCACCAACCCAAUUAAAUUUUCUUGAUCAGAGAAAGGGUUAGGGUGAUGAAGUGUUGAAAUUAGUUGCAUUAGCUAGUGUUGGUGUUGUAAUUUUUGUAACUAAUGUAAGUUUGGAGUUAUAUGUCAUACGGAUUGGGAUCGGGUGUACGUUUGUAUAAUAUAUGUACGAAAUUUGGUUUAAAUGGGAUAUGGAUUGAAGUAUGACAGUAUGUUGUAAAAAUGAAUGUAAGGUUGGAAAUUGAGUGAUUUGUGUAUAAUUUUUGUAAGAAUGAAAUUUUGAAAUUGAAAGUGUAAUGGUUUAUGUUCUAGAA